This 206-nucleotide ribosomal RNA is filed under the name uncultured bacterium. RNAcentral describes it as "partial 16S ribosomal RNA". It matches the Rfam family "Bacterial small subunit ribosomal RNA", at positions 568 to 774 of the family's 1533-position model. The record is from RNAcentral.
UGCGUAGGCGGGUUUUUAAGUCAGGGGUGAAAUCCUGGAGCUCAACUCCAGAACUGCCUUUGAUACUGAGAAUCUUGAGUUCGGGAGAGGUGAGUGGAACUGCGAGUGUAGAGGUGAAAUUCGUAGAUAUUCGCAAGAACACCAGUGGCGAAGGCGGCUCACUGGCCCGAUACUGACGCUGAGGCACGAAAGCGUGGGAGCAAACA